This 484-nucleotide ribosomal RNA is filed under the name uncultured bacterium. RNAcentral's name for it is "partial 16S ribosomal RNA". It matches the Rfam family "Bacterial small subunit ribosomal RNA", at positions 30 to 507 of the family's 1533-position model. The record is from RNAcentral.
AUUGAACGCUGGCGGCAGGCCUAACACAUGCAAGUCGAGCGGAUGAAGGGAGCUUGCUCCUGGAUUCAGCGGCGGACGGGUGAGUAAUGCCUAGGAAUCUGCCUGGUAGUGGGGGAUAACGUCCGGAAACGGGCGCUAAUACCGCAUACGUCCUGAGGGAGAAAGUGGGGGAUCUUCGGACCUCACGCUAUCAGAUGAGCCUAGGUCGGAUUAGCUAGUUGGUGGGGUAAAGGCCUACCAAGGCGACGAUCCGUAACUGGUCUGAGAGGAUGAUCAGUCACACUGGAACUGAGACACGGUCCAGACUCCUACGGGAGGCAGCAGUGGGGAAUAUUGGACAAUGGGCGAAAGCCUGAUCCAGACAUGCCGCGUGUGUGAAGAAGGUCUUCGGAUUGUAAAGCACUUUAAGUUGGGAGGAAGGGCAGUAAGUUAAUACCUUGCUGAUUUGACGUUACCAACAGAAUAAGCACCGGCUAACUUCGUG